Long non-coding RNA from Rhineura floridana, 3942 nucleotides. RefSeq lists it as uncharacterized. Lineage: Eukaryota; Metazoa; Chordata; Lepidosauria; Squamata; Rhineuridae. The record is from RefSeq and is a predicted model, not a curated record. The transcript is spliced from 4 exons.
ACAUAUUCUAAACAAAUGACUUUCAAGUAGCAGUAGCAGGUGUUUUGAACCUUCUCACAUGUCAAAAUCCCUGGAGCUACUAAGGCCAAAUAGGCAGUUCUCUGAGUUCCAACCAGAAGAAUGACUAGUUAGGAUGUGAAAGGAAAUGGGAAACAUCACAAAGUAAUGUGCACUGCUAGGAGGGAAACAUCAGAAUAGUAAAAGCAAAGGAUAGCAGAAAAAUAACUAGCCCGAAACAGAACUGCCUGCUAGUUCAAUGGAAUGCAAUCAAACAGGCACCAACAAGCAGAUCCCAUCCUUAGGCAUGAUCCAUUCCUGAGCAGUUGGAAUCACAUGUUGUAUUUUAAUCUUACCUUCAAUGAAUAUUAAACAACAAUAAAAAAGAGUGUGAAGACAACAGAUCUCCACCCGUACUAGAAAAAACAUUACUAGGUGCUGCCCCUAUCUUUUGGUAUAUUCACACUUAGUCCUUUGUCUAGGCCUGCCUGGAGAAAACAAAGUCUGUGGAACCUGGAUCUGCUCCCUCUAUUGCACACCAUUUCAGAAAGGCCUUCCACAUUGUUCCAUAAAUUCUAUUUGUAAUCACGUCAAGAAGAAUGGUCUCCAACACCACACUGCACAAUCCGCAUGGAGUCAACCAUUGCUGCUCAGCCUCCAAGGUGUUAAGUGGAAGAGGGCGGCUGGGGGUAAACAACGGAACCCUGAAGCAGCAAGUCUUGUCUCUCUGGGAGCCUCCAUGGUUUCUGGAGUGACAGGUUUAGUAAGUCCGGGAACUAUGGCCUCUGUGGCCAAUGAGCAAUCAGGACAAUUUAUUUAUUCAUGUAUUUAUUACAUUUAUAUACCACCCCAUAGCCAAAGCUCUCUGGGCGGUUUACAAAAGUUAAAAACAUUGAACAUUAAAAAAUAUAUAUAAAAAUUUAAAAACCAUACAAAGUUUAAAACCAUGAGAUAAACAAAGUAAAAAACCUGGGGUCAAAGCUCAGCACAUGCUGUUAGAAUGCCUGGGAGAAAAGGGAAGUCUUGAUCUGGCGCUGAAAAGAUAACAAUGUUGGUGCCAGGUGAACUUCAUUGGGGAGAUCAUUCCAUAAUUUGGGGGCCACUACUGAAAAGGCCCUCUCCCUUGUUGUAAUUUCAGCCUGCUCCCCAUAUCUGCUGUACCAGGAGGUUGAAUGAGGUUGAAUGAUGGAAAAGAAUAAAGAAGCCCCUUUGGCCAAUGGCUAGAGCAUGCUAUACUGGCAAAGAACUGAAGAACUUGAUGGUUGUUCUGAGAGGCAAACAGAUGUACUGCAGGCCAAGCCCACCUGUGUGCCACCUACUGGAAAACCUCUGGGUUCAGCUGCCACUCUGCCUCCUGAAUAUGAAAAUGGUUCAGCCAAUCCGCCAUUUGAUUUUGAAGACCAUCCAGAUAUUCUGCCUUGAGGGAUGCCAGAUGUCUCUCUGCCCACCUGAACAGCUUCAACAUCAACAUUCUCAAAUGAGUCCUCCAUUGUGGACACACAAUUUCAUUGAGGAGCUGCUGCUGUGUAUAAAAGGGUGUGACCCUUUGACCUCUGACUGAAAAUGAUGCAGUGUCAGGUGGAUAGCCCUCGGUUCCAACACAUUUAUUCUGUACUGUGAUUCAUGUGGGGGCCACUCUCCCUCAGACGCUACCCUCUGUCCCAGGCAAGAUCCCCUCCCAAACAGAUUGGCAUCUGUGGUCAACACCAGAUGGAAUGGUUUCUCCAGUGACACUCACUCCAAAGGUCUCUGCAGAGCCAGACACCAAGACAAUUCCUCUUUCAGUGCUUCAAAGACCUCCAUCUUCAUUUUUACCUAGAGAGCUACUUCCUCUUACAAAGACAACAGCAGCUUUAUCAAGUCCCUGGAGUGGAACUGGGCCCAACCAACUAGAUUGUAAGCUGAAACCAUCAAGUCCUGCAGGUGCACCAGUGACAUUAACUCCACCUGAUGAGCCUGCAUGACAGCUAAAAUUGCAGCACACAAAUCAGAAUCCUUUCCUGAGUCAGAGUCAACAACACACAGAAAGGUAACAGAAGAGGAGCAACUGAAUCCCACAGACAAAAAAGUCCUAUUGCUUUUAAAAUGAAGUCUGAUAUUUGGAGAGUUUCCUUCCUCUCUCACCUGUUUCCCCCUUAAAAUAUCAAAAAAGCACAGUAAAGAGGGAAUAAAUAGGCAACACUAAGGCCUACCUAGUGGAUGAAAAUGGAAAUGGCCUGCCUUCAAGUCGAUCCCGACUUAUGGUGACCCUAUGAAUAGGGUGUUCAUGGUAAGCAGUAUUCAGAGGGGGUUUACCAUUGCCUCCCUCUGAGGCUAGUCCUCCCCAGCUGUCUAGGGCCUGCUGAGUUUGCCACAGCUGCACAAGCCAGCCCCUUCCUUGUCCACAACUGCCAGCUGGGGGGCAACUGGGCUCCUUGGGACUAUGCAGCUUGCCCACGGCUGCACAGGUGGCAGAGCAUGUAACCCCUGAGCAACUCACUGUGGGGGUGAUCUUUAGCUGGCCCUUGACACCCAGGAGACACGAGCAGACUCUGGACUCCCAGCCAGGCUCUCCUCCCCACUGUGCUAUAGUAGUGUGAAAUAUAGCAACAGACAACAUAGGCAUGAAAGGUUUUCAUGAGUUCUCCUUUAUAACACAUUCUGAAAUUCUUAUCUUGAGACUAAUUACCAUUUUAGAGAAAAGGAGACUAAUGAUUUUUUGUUCAGUCAUCCUGUCAAUUGUAUGUAGAGCCUGAAACAUGGAAGGGAGAUGUGCACUGUGGGCAUCCGUCUUUCUUUUGCUUUUAUGAAGCUAAGAAGGAGGCCUUUUCAAGCUAAUGCAAAUAUAUUCUGAGAUGUCCUGUAAUACACCAAAUCCACCUCUCUGAAAGGAUCAUCUAUAGUAACUCAAGGAGCCAUGUGAUAUAACACUAUGAUAACAUUUUCAAGCUAGAGGUUGUAACAAUACCUCUAGUUGCCACCAUGCUUUGUAACCACAACUCAAAGCUUAGAUUUUAUGCUGAUAUACAAUACUGAAUAAUUUCAAAUACAUGCCUUUCUUUUGGUUUCUAUGAAAACUGGGUGAUUUCUAUGAAAAUUCUAACCACAAAUUCCUCUCCCUAAAAGUACCAACCCAGACCCUGCUCUCAGCAUCAGGGGUCCCUUUUUCAGACAAAGGAUAGACAAUGCAGUGUCAUAGAAUAAUAGAAUUGUAGAGUUGGAAGGGGUCUAUAAGGCCAUUGAGUCCAACCCCUUGCUUAAUGCAGAAAUCCAAAUUAAAGCAUACCUGACAGGUGGCUGUCCAGCUGCCUCUUGAAGACCUUUAAUGUUGGAGAGCCUGCUACCUUCCUAGAUAAUUGGUUUCACUGUUGUACUGCUCUAACAAUUACAAAGUUUUUCCUGAUGCUCAGUUGAAACUGAACUGGCUUCCUGUAAGUUGAGCCCAUUAUUCAGUGUCCUGCAUUCUGGGACGAUCAAGAAGAGAUCCUGGCCCUCCUCUGUGUGAUAACCUUUCAAGUACUUGAAGAGUGCUUUCAUAUCUUCCCUCAGUCUUCUCUUCUCAAGGGUAAAUGCACCCAGUUCUUUCAGUCUCUCCUCAUAGGGCUUUUCCAGUCCCCUGAUCAUCCUUGUUGCCCUCCUCUGAACUCGUACCGGUUUGUCUGCAUUCUUCUUACAGUGUGGCGUCCAGAACUGGACACAGUACCAAAAUAAAGCCUAACUAGUGCCAAAUAGAGGAGAAUCAAUAUUUCACGCAAUUUGGAAACAAUACAUCUGUUAAUGCAGCCUAAAAUAGCAUUUGCCUUUUUUUUACAGCCACGUCACACUAUUGGCUCAUAUUCAGCUUGGCUCAUAUUGUGAUCAACAAUAAUCCCAUUUUAUUGUUUUAUUGUAAUAUGAUCUGUUUUUAAAUAUGUAUUCUGUAUUUUCUUAUAUUUGUUUAAUUGUGGUGGCCUAUGGCUUUGAACA